RNAcentral lists this ribosomal RNA (33 nucleotides) under Staphylococcus aureus. RNAcentral also lists the same sequence under 4 other names. The record is from RNAcentral. Lineage: Bacteria; Bacillati; Bacillota; Bacilli; Caryophanales; Staphylococcaceae.
ACACCUGUUCCCAUGCCGAACACAGAAGUUAAG